CACUGGGCAAGGCAUCUUUCCACUUGUACACCAUCCGCAGAACAAGGCAUAACCGGGAAAGUCAUGCAUGCAAUAUUGUAGCCAAACUUUCAUCAAGAAAUUUUUCUGCAGAUGUCGGUCGUAUGUCAACCUCGGGAAGUACCAAGAAUGGUGCAAAUCAUCCACCAACGGCUGCAUAAACACACUCAAAUUCUUCCCUGGAUAUUCAGGCCCCGGAAUUAUAAGCGACAGGAACAUGGUCUUGCAUUGCAUUAUGGCGCCGGGAGGGAGAUUCAGCGGAAUAACAAAUACGGGCCAACAGCUGUAUGGAUUAGACGACAUACCAUAUGGAUUGAACCCAUCACCUGUUAUAGCAAUUCUGACAUUCCCAGCCUCGGCUGCUUCCUCCGGGUACUCUAUAUCGAAUGACUUCCAUGCUUCACCUCCUGAUGGAUGUACAAUUUUUUUUGGAUUGUACCUUUUCUCUUCCUUGUGCCACUUCAUCAUUUUGGCAGACUCCUCGGUGAUGAAAAGGCACUGCAGUCUUUUUAUAAAAUCAAGAUACCGAAGAACCUUCACAGGGAUUUUUAGCUGCUGCUUCUGACCAUGCUUAUCGACCACCUCAAUAUAUCGAGAGGAACCGCACUUCCUACAGUACUUGUCAUCCGCAUACUCAUGCCUAAACAAAAGGCAAUUCUUUGGACAAACAUGUAUUUUCUCAUAGUCCAUCGAGAGCGCCUUCAUGAUUUUCUUCGUACCGUACAUGGUUUUCGGCAGUUCAUGGCCCUCAGGCAGGCUGUU
RNAcentral lists this ribosomal RNA (780 nucleotides) under Triticum aestivum (bread wheat). Its description in RNAcentral is "partial small subunit ribosomal RNA". Lineage: Eukaryota; Viridiplantae; Streptophyta; Magnoliopsida; Poales; Poaceae. The record is from RNAcentral.